UGAGUUUUGAUACAUAUAAGAAGG
This 24-nucleotide non-coding RNA is filed under the name Cricetulus griseus (Chinese hamster). Lineage: Eukaryota; Metazoa; Chordata; Mammalia; Rodentia; Cricetidae. The record is from RNAcentral.